This is a long non-coding RNA of Oryza brachyantha (malo sina), 227 nucleotides long. RefSeq lists it as uncharacterized. Lineage: Eukaryota; Viridiplantae; Streptophyta; Magnoliopsida; Poales; Poaceae. The transcript is spliced from 3 exons. The record is from RefSeq and is a predicted model, not a curated record.
GUUUGACUCCAAGUUAACUCGUUCUAGGGUUAUCGGAAGGUCGACUUGACUUCGCACAUCGUUCGUGACCUGACUUCGCUCAAGGCUGUCCCUACUGCAAAAAGGACAAGCACUGGCUAAUGAAUAUGGCAUCAUGUUUCUUGAAAGAGUUACUCUCCAUUGCAUUUUACUUGUAGUAUUAUACUACCAGUAGAAAAUGGGUAUUUUUGUAUUUUAUUAAUUACUUG